GCCAUUACUUGGCACUGCGGACAGCGUUGAGUGAGGGGGCUGUGACCGCUGAAUGGGGACUUGAAGGAUGAGAGGGCAACAGGAGCGGCAGCUCUUCCUCUGCCAGGAAAGGAACUUCAGGAGCCCAGGCCCCGAGGGCGGGAGGCGUAGGGUGGGUGUGGGGGCUCCUGCGACAGCGCAGACUUGGCGCGGACGGGUGCAGGGACUGCGUGGGAGCCUCCGGGGUCCCCGCGCUCCGCGACCCUGCGUGACCCGGGCGGCGAGGCCGUGCGGAGGAGGAGGGCGCGGGCGGGGCUCCUGGCGGGCUCUCCUCGCCUGGUUUGUUAUGCACGAGGCAGGCAAUUUGCCUUCCGCCCGGGGGACCCAUCUAGGAGACAAGAAGGUGACGAAAACUCCUCGAGAGGGAUCCAAGAAUGAGCAGCCUUGUCCCCUGAGGUCUGGCCCACUGCCUCCUGGUUCAGCAGAAAUGUGUCCUUCCUGGAAGCCCAGAGGUCCUAGGGAGAGAGGAAUCAGCCUGGGGCCUGGCCGGGCCUCCUGGAGCCACCUUCCGUGUGAGGGGUUGUUCACGUGUUCAGCUCUUCUCAUGGAUGACAUAUGGACCAAUCUGUGUCACACUUAGUAGAUGGUCCAUGAAAAACUGAAUGAGGUGAAGUGGCUUGCUCUGCGGAAGACUCCUCUGCAGAAGAUGGGGUUUUCUGUUUCAUUGAUGUAGCUGAGGUUCUUCUUAGGCUUUGGGAAAAUUUAGAAUGAAAGCCUUACCCUCCCUAUGCUUCAGCACUCUGUUUUUCCUUUGAAGAAAAAAAAAAAC
RNAcentral lists this long non-coding RNA (808 nucleotides) under Chinchilla lanigera (long-tailed chinchilla). RNAcentral's name for it is "lncRNA (ENSCLAG00000028494.1)". The record is from RNAcentral. Lineage: Eukaryota; Metazoa; Chordata; Mammalia; Rodentia; Chinchillidae.